CCCACGCCACACUGACGACCUGCUCCGCGUGUCACUCAGUCGGGGGGUGGCUAGACGCCUACGAUGUUAUGCCUUCGACCGCUGAACUACGGGAGUACCCCCGGACAGUCGGCGGAGGGAUGGAUAUCAUAGUGACCGAUUUA
RNAcentral lists this non-coding RNA (143 nucleotides) under Eutreptiella gymnastica. The record is from RNAcentral. Lineage: Eukaryota; Euglenozoa; Euglenophyceae; Eutreptiales; Eutreptiaceae.